Molecule: long non-coding RNA, 1083 nt
Organism: Homo sapiens (human)
Lineage: Eukaryota; Metazoa; Chordata; Mammalia; Primates; Hominidae
Exons: 3
Source: RefSeq, a predicted model, not a curated record
CACGCUGGUCUUGAACUCCAGACCUCAGAAGGUCAGUUCCUCUUACAAUCCUCCAGAGUGUCCACUUUCCACUAUCAAAAUGUCCUUGCGAGAAGUCUGUGACUCAUGGAAAUUGAUGGCCUACCUCCUGCUAAGGUGGUGACUAUAGUAUACCCUGUUUGCUUCCUGUUCUCAAGGACAAUCUGUGGCUCUUCUGAAAUGCUCAUGACUGUAAGACAGGGGAAUGAGCCUGGGGGAAGACAUCACCGUCAGACUCCCUUGGCCCUCCUGAGGACUGUUGCUUAAAAACCUGUGGGAAUCCAAAAGAGCCCAGCUUAGUCACUGCCAUUUUCCGAGAAGCUAGGAAUCAGAAAGCAACAACAAUGAACUCAUGUUUAUUGAACACCUUCUGAAAGUCAGGAACUGUGCACAAGACAUACCUUCUCAUUUCAUCCACUCUACAGCCCAGUAAGGUAGGCAUUAUCUCAUUUUAUAGAUGAGAAAACUGAGGCUUGGAGAGAGCAAAUUGGGAGUGAAUCUUAGCGUGUUCCUGUCGUAACCCAGUAACAUAUAUGGGUGAGAGAACCAGAGAAACCGAGAGAGGGGCUGGGAAAGAAUACCCUCACAGGCAAAUAAUAGUCCUUCACAUUUUGUGGUGUGUCCGGAGAGCAUUUUGUGAAGACUGUGGGUUCUCAAAGUAUGGUCCCUGGACCUCAUGAACCAGGACAGACACUUAACGACUGUAAGUGACAGACACUUACGACUGCUGUUUGUAGGCUGGCCUAGUUCUCAGACAGGUGACCACUCUAUUUCCUUCCAACUCAUACUUCAUGCUUUUCAGCUGCUCUGGAAACAUGACAGUUAAAUUUAUAGUCUGGCCAGCAGAGGGCAACGGAGGCCAACCUUUCCUGCCAGAUGUAGAAGAACUUCAUCCGUUUAGAGAAAUGGUGGGAAGUUGUUAAAAAUGCAAAUUAUUGGGCCCCACCCCAGACCUACUCAAUUGGAAAUUCUGAGAUUAAGGCCCAUCAAUGAAUAAUUGUUGUUGCUGCCCAUCAAUCUGAGAUUAAGGCCCAUCAAUCUGAGAUUAAGGCCCAUCAAUGAGUU